Molecule: long non-coding RNA, 202 nt
Filed under: Homo sapiens (human)
Lineage: Eukaryota; Metazoa; Chordata; Mammalia; Primates; Hominidae
Description: LNC_000372
Source: RNAcentral
CCCGUGUAAUAGCCAUAAGCAUAAAGAACUCGUCCAACAAUCCAGGCCAAGCCCAGGCCAGAAGCUAUACGCGGGUGGUAAACACCUCCAACAGCUAGAAAAAAUAAGAAGGGAGGAUACACUUCCAACGUGUUCUGGUGGGCUCGCUGAAUGCAGUUGAAGAUGUGCCCAUUUUCAGGGUCCGUGCUGUACAUGAUAGGAU